This 248-nucleotide ribosomal RNA is filed under the name uncultured bacterium. RNAcentral's name for it is "partial 16S ribosomal RNA". It matches the Rfam family "Bacterial small subunit ribosomal RNA", at positions 529 to 776 of the family's 1533-position model. The record is from RNAcentral.
AGGGGGCUAGCGUUGUUCGGAAUCACUGGGCGUAAAGCGCACGUAGGCGGAUGUGCCAGUCAGGGGUGAAAUCCCGGAGCUCAACUUCGGAACUGCCUCUGAUACAGCACGUCUUGAGUCCGGAAGAGGUGGGUGGAAUUCCUAGUGUAGAGGUGAAAUUCGUAGAUAUUAGGAAGAACACCGGUGGCGAAGGCGGCCCACUGGUCCGGUACUGACGCUGAGGUGCGAAAGCGUGGGGAGCAAACAGG